CCGAUUGAAGCCGCGGCCCCUUGACUUAUGCUUGCCACGAUGUCAUGUCGGUGGGGGUCAUUGGAGGCUGAGAUAAGUCUUUCUUCCUUUUCCUCUCUUCUCUCCCUUCUUUUCCAUACCUGUGGGCAUGACUGUUGGUGACAAGAGUCAUCGGAGAAGAAAGCUCUGUUCGGCCUCUCCCUUUCCCCUGAUUUUAUGGCACCGACCGCCAGCUGUGGCCUC
Molecule: long non-coding RNA, 222 nt
Filed under: Elaeis guineensis (African oil palm)
Lineage: Eukaryota; Viridiplantae; Streptophyta; Magnoliopsida; Arecales; Arecaceae
Description: long non-coding RNA (EGUI_LNC028544)
Source: RNAcentral